CUUUGAGAAAAGUGAUUACAGUAUUUCGCAUUUGUUUAAGUGAUCAUACGAUUGUAUAUCAAACCAUCUUGGAGCCAAGACUCUUCUCAACAAUAUUAAAAUGGUCAAGAUAAUCUGUUUAUUUGCCAUUUUUGCCAUCACCUUUGGAAGUGAAAUUCCAUCAACUACCGUUCCAUCAUUCGCAACGAGGCCUAUUCCGAAGUUAUUCCAAGCAGUUGGCAGCACUCCUAGAGAAUUUCUAACCACGGAAGCGGAUGAAGCAGUGACAACCAUUGCACCAGAGGUGGCAUCUUCUGACAUAGACAGGGCGGAAACUUUUGGGUUCGGGUACUACGGAUACCCAAGAUAUUACGGCGGAUAUCCUACAUACUAUCGGUAUUAUCCUAGCUACAGUUAUGGUUAUCCGUAUUACUAUUGAGGUGGUGAAUAAAGCAUUCAUAGAUGAAGCAAUAUUUUACUGAAGUA
Aedes aegypti (yellow fever mosquito) is the source of this 465-nucleotide long non-coding RNA. RefSeq lists it as uncharacterized. The transcript is spliced from 2 exons. NCBI's taxonomy places the organism in Eukaryota, Metazoa, Arthropoda, Insecta, Diptera, Culicidae. The record is from RefSeq and is a predicted model, not a curated record.